UACGUAGGGUGCGAGCGUUGUCCGGAAUUAUUGGGCGUAAAGGGCUCGUAGGCGGUUUGUCGCGUCGGGAGUGAAAUCCAUUGGCUUAACUGGUGGCUUGCUUUCGAUACGGGCAGACUGGAGGUAUGCAGGGGAGAACGGAAUUCCUGGUGUAGCGGUGAAAUGCGUAGAUAUCAGGAGGAACACCGGUGGUGUAAACGGCUUUCUGGACCGUAACUGACGCUGAUGCACGAAAGCGUGGGUAGCAAACAGG
This 253-nucleotide ribosomal RNA is filed under the name uncultured bacterium. RNAcentral's name for it is "partial 16S ribosomal RNA". It matches the Rfam family "Bacterial small subunit ribosomal RNA", at positions 524 to 776 of the family's 1533-position model. The record is from RNAcentral.